AUUGAACGCUGGCGGCAGGCCUAACACAUGCAAGUCGAACGAGUGGCGGACGGGUGAGUAAUGUCUGGGAAACUGCCCGAUGGAGGGGGAUAACUAAUGGAAACGGUAGCUAAUACCGCAUACCAUCGAAUGUGCCCAGAUGGGAUUAGCUAGUAGGUGGGGGAACGGCUCACCUAGGCGACGAUCCAUAGCUGGUCUGAGAGGAUGACCAGCCACACUGGAACUGAGACACGGUCCAGACUCCUACGGGAGGGAGCAGUGGGGAAUAUUGGAAAAGGGGCGCAAGCCUGAUGCAGCCAUGCCGCGUGUAUGAAGAAGGCCUGCGGGUUGUAAAGUACUUUCAGCGGGGAGGCGUUACCCGCAGAAGAAGCACAGGCUAACUCCGUGCCAGCAGCCGCGGUAAUAC
This 406-nucleotide ribosomal RNA is filed under the name uncultured bacterium. Its description in RNAcentral is "partial 16S ribosomal RNA". It matches the Rfam family "Bacterial small subunit ribosomal RNA", at positions 29 to 526 of the family's 1533-position model. The record is from RNAcentral.